RNAcentral lists this ribosomal RNA (482 nucleotides) under uncultured bacterium. Its description in RNAcentral is "bacterial SSU rRNA". It matches the Rfam family "Bacterial small subunit ribosomal RNA", at positions 28 to 507 of the family's 1533-position model. The record is from RNAcentral.
GAUGAACGCUGGCGGCGUGCCUAACACAUGCAAGUCGAACGGUAACAGGCCUUCGGGCGCUGACGAGUGGCGGACGGGUGAGUAACGCGUGGGAAUCUGCCUAGUAGUGGGGGACAACCUGGGGAAACUCAGGCUAAUACCGCAUACGCCCUACGGGGGAAAGCAGGGGAUCUUCGGACCUUGCGCUAUUAGAUGAGCCUGCGUCGGAUUAGCUUGUUGGUGGGGUAAAGGCCUACCAAGGCGACGAUCCGUAGCUGGUUUGAGAGGACGAUCAGCCACACUGGGACUGAGACACGGCCCAGACUCCUACGGGAGGCAGCAGUGGGGAAUAUUGGACAAUGGGGGCAACCCUGAUCCAGCAAUGCCGCGUGUGUGAAGAAGGCCUGCGGGUUGUAAAGCACUUUCGGAUGGGAAGAAAAGCUCAAGGCUAAUAUCCUUGAGUCUUGACGUUACUAUCAGAAGAAGCACCGGCUAACUCUGUG